RNAcentral lists this ribosomal RNA (550 nucleotides) under uncultured bacterium. Its description in RNAcentral is "bacterial SSU rRNA". It matches the Rfam family "Bacterial small subunit ribosomal RNA", at positions 355 to 896 of the family's 1533-position model. The record is from RNAcentral.
UAGGGAAUCUUCCACAAUGGGCGAAAGCCUGAUGGAGCAACGCCGCGUGUGUGAUGAAGGCUUUAGGGUCGUAAAGCACUGUUGUAUGGGAAGAAAUGCUAGAAUAGGGAAUGAUUCUAGUUCGACGGUACCAUACCAGAAAGGGACGGCUAAAUACGUGCCAGCAGCCGCGGUAAUACGUAUGUCCCGAGCGUUAUCCGGAUUUAUUGGGCGUAAAGCGAGCGCAGACGGUUGAUUAAGUCUGAUGUGAAAGCCCGGAGCUCAACUCCGGAAUGGCAUUGGAAACUGGUUAACUUGAGUGUUGUAGAGGUAAGUGGAACUCCAUGUGUAGCGGUGGAAUGCGUAGAUAUAUGGAAGAACACCAGUGGCGAAGGCGGCUUACUGGACAACAACUGACGUUGAGGCUCGAAAGUGUGGGUAGCAAACAGGAUUAGAUACCCUGGUAGUCCACACCGUAAACGAUGAAUACUAGGUGUUAGGAGGUUUCCGCCUCUUAGUGCCGAAGCUAACGCAUUAAGUAUUCCGCCUGGGGAGUACGACCGCAAGGUUG